AUCUAGCUAAUGAGUUCCAAAUAGGAUGAAACCAACGUCCUGGAU
RNAcentral lists this non-coding RNA (45 nucleotides) under Schistosoma mattheei. Lineage: Eukaryota; Metazoa; Platyhelminthes; Trematoda; Strigeidida; Schistosomatidae. The record is from RNAcentral.